RNAcentral lists this ribosomal RNA (421 nucleotides) under uncultured bacterium. RNAcentral's name for it is "partial 16S ribosomal RNA". It matches the Rfam family "Bacterial small subunit ribosomal RNA", at positions 359 to 773 of the family's 1533-position model. The record is from RNAcentral.
UAUAUUUGACAGUGGGCGAAAGGCUGAUCCAGCCAUGCCGCGCGUGUGAAGAAGGUCCUCGUUUUGUAUAGCACUUUAUGUUGGGAGGCAGGGCAGAUAGUAAAUAUCUUGCUGUCUUGACGUUACCGACAGAAUAAGUACCGGUUAACUUAGUUCCAGCAGCCGCGGUAAUACGAAGGGUGCAAGCGUUAAUCGGAAUUACUUGGCGUAAUGCGCGCGUAGGUGGUUUGUUAAGUUGGAAGUGAAAGCACCGGGCUCAACCUGGGAACUGCUUUCAAAACUGGCAAGCUAGAGUAUGGCAGAGGGUGGUGGAAUUUCCUGUGUAGCAGUGAUAUGCGUAGAUAUAGGAAGGAACACCAGUGGCUAAGGCGACCACCUGGGCUAAUACUGACACUGAGGUGCGAAAGCGUGGGGAGCAAAC